AGCUGGAAUGUUACUGUAGAUCCCCAACUUUGAUGGCUAAACCACUCCGGAGUCGUGUCUCCCGGGAGGCAGAAACUACAUGCCGCUUCUGGAAAAUCGGGCAGCUGUAAACACAACUCAAAUAGCAUCUUUUUAAAAUGAAAGGUGGUAAAUAGAGAAAAAAAGAUGUAUAUCAGAGCUUUGAGAAACAAACCUGAUGGUAUAACCUUUUGGUAUAAAGUUGAAAUUUCAGUAAUGAGUACGCCAAGAUUUGAUUGAACAAACGCGAUCUCGAGCAAUUAGUGAAAAUGAAUUCAAAAAUGUUCCCCUCAACUACAGUUGAUGACCUGUGGUGGAAGCCCUGGUAAUGAUUCAAUCUCUCGCAAUUGUCUGCAUCCAACUUUGAUAGCUGUGGUGGAAGCUCCGGUAAUGAUUCAAGCCUCCUGCAAUUCCUUAAUCCUAGAUAUUGCAACUCAAACAGUUUAUUGAUGGUUAUAGGUAUUGUCCUGAAAUUGUUUCCACUUAGAUCUAACACUUCCAGUGACGAAAAACGACCAAGACUGUCCGGCACUUCCGAUAGAUUGCAACCAUCUAGAUUUAGCUUACGCAAACAAUCUAAAUCCACGCCUCUCUCGGGCAAUUGC
Long non-coding RNA from Populus euphratica (Euphrates poplar), 623 nucleotides. RefSeq lists it as uncharacterized. NCBI's taxonomy places the organism in Eukaryota, Viridiplantae, Streptophyta, Magnoliopsida, Malpighiales, Salicaceae. The transcript is spliced from 2 exons. The record is from RefSeq and is a predicted model, not a curated record.